Molecule: ribosomal RNA, 396 nt
Filed under: uncultured bacterium
Lineage: Bacteria
Description: partial 16S ribosomal RNA
Rfam family: Bacterial small subunit ribosomal RNA
Source: RNAcentral
AUACGUAGGGGGCGAGCGUUGUCCGGAAUGAUUGGGCGUAAAGGGCGCGUAGGCGGCCCGGUAAGUCUGGAGUGAAAGUCCUGUUUUUAAGAUGGGAAUUGCUUUGGAUACUGUCGGGCUUGAGUGCAGGAGAGGUAAGUGGAAUUCCUAGUGUAGCGGUGAAAUGCGUAGAUAUUAGGUGGAACACCAGUGGCGAAGGCGGCCUGCUGGACGACAACUGACGCUGAGGCGCGAAAGCGUGGGGAGCAAACAGGAUUAGAUACCCUGGUAGUCCACGCUGUAAACGAUGAAUACUAGGUGUGGGGGGACUGACCCCCUCCGUGCCGCAGUUAACACAAUAAGUAUUCCACCUGGGGAGUACGAUCGCAAGAUUGAAACUCAAAUGAAUUGACGGGG